GAUUUGAUAGUUUAAUAAAAACAUUGGUCUUGUAAACCAAAAAUGAAUAAACAUAUUCUCAAGCCA
This 66-nucleotide transfer RNA is filed under the name Alvinocaris kexueae. RNAcentral describes it as "tRNA-Thr". It matches the Rfam family "tRNA". Rfam says of the family: Transfer RNA (tRNA) molecules are approximately 80 nucleotides in length. Their secondary structure includes four short double-helical elements and three loops (D, anti-codon, and T loops). Lineage: Eukaryota; Metazoa; Arthropoda; Malacostraca; Decapoda; Alvinocarididae. The record is from RNAcentral.